AAGUAAAUUAGAAAAACUUUGAAACAUAGAGGUUUAAAGUCAGAACAAAAAAUUAAGAGCCAAAGUGAAAACAUGACUAAACAUAAAAAAGACAAUAUAAAUUACCCUAUGAAAAAUAUACAGUUUUGCUAUAGACCUUGAAUGAGGUCUUAUCGUAAACGACUCGAAUGAGCUGGCAGUCUCUUCUUACACAUGUAAGCCACUUGCACCAAAUACCGUGUAGAUUUCACGCGCCUUGAAAACUAAAGAGAAACAAAUCAGCGUAAGUAGGAGAUGAAGAGGGAGAUGACCACGACCCAGAGGACUUGACCUCGACGACGACGACGAUGACCGAGGUGGCCACCGACAAUGAAAAAGACCACUGCUGACUAUUAAUCAUGGUCUAUCACUCUCCAAUUCCUUCGGUUUAUCUGAAAAUUUCGACGUCGACCCACCAAGAAGCAACUGAUUCGUGGGUCAUUACUGAGGUAUUGCUUCAAACAUAUUCUUUGCUUUACAUUGGUUAAAAUCUCUUGGUCCAUGAUUUUGCUCAUGUUUGGUUCAUAUCACCAAGCCCUUUAAUUUGUUUCAAUCAUAAUUUUGGUGUUUUUGUAUUGAUGCAUUCUAUGUGUUUGUUGAAAGUCCACAUAAAAAGUUUUUGUUUGGUUAUUGAUGCAUUCUAUGUUUAUUGAUGCAUUGAUGCAUUCCAUGGGUUUGAGGCCAUAUUUUGAGUGAAUUUUGUCAACUUCACAUAACGCAUUUGAAGGUUUUGGUCUCUUCAAUGUUGAUAAAUUGAUUGUUCAAAUUUUGUCUGAGUUUUUCUUUCAAUUUAAAAUGUGGAUAAGAAAAAAAUAAUAAGGACAGACCCUCACUUGUAAAAUUUGAGACCACAAAGUGGAAUAAGAUUUUAUGUUUUUCUUCUCUAUCUUUCUUGAUAAAUUGAUUAACUGUGUGAUUCAAGAUGGAACUUAUAAAAAUAAAAAUUAAAAAUGUUGCCUAAACAUGAUUUUCUUCGGAUCCAGGUAUCAUACUUGAAAUCAUCAUGGAAAUUUGAUGUUGUUGCUUUCUUUGUGCUGUUUAUGUUCACUGUUUGAACUCUUACAUAUUUAAAUGCAAAUGAAAAUCAAACAGGGAUAAAGAAUUUUGCUCCUCAUGUAUUCACUAUUUCAAUUCUUACAUAUUCACUGUUUGAAUUCUCUUUGAAUUCUUUGUGCUGUUUAUGUUCACUAUUUGUUAGAAGGAAAGUUGCUCCUCAUUUUCCACAACUUUCACAGGAAACAAACAGAAAGAAAUUGACUAAUGUGCUUAAUUUUGUCUUGAAACAAACAGAAAGAAAGAAACAACUGUUUAUGUUCACUCUUGUCUUGACUUUUAAAACUUUAAUAAGAUGAAAUUUUUUAUCCUGUAGAACAAUACUAGUAUAGAACAUGAAAUUGAAGCCAAAAUUGACUAAUGUGCUUAAUUUUGAAUGUAAAUUGAGUUUAUUCAUUUAGAAAUAUUAUUAUUAUUAUUACUCCUUUUUAGCACUAACUGAGCCCAUUUUUUUUCUCUCCAUCUCUUUUAAUUUUUGAAUUGGAUUUUGUAUUUCAAUUUGAACCUACAAACUUGAAAGAGCAACAAAAGGAUGGAAGGUUUAAACAAUCUUAGUGAAGAAGUUCAAGAACCGAAGAGUGGUGAAGUUGAAGAACCUAAGCAGGGGAUGUGCUUUACCUCUAAGCAAGAAGUGUAUACAUUUUAUGCAAAAUAUGCAAAGCACCUUGGAUUUGCUAUAGCUUAUAGAACAUAAAAUUAUGGUAAUGACGGGGGACUGAAAUACUUUGGAAUUGAAUGUACUCGGGCGAGGAAGAGAAGAAAAAGAUCAGAAGUAAACCCUCUGGAACCAUCUUUGUCAUCCAAAAAUGAUUGUAAAGCAAAAGUAAGAAGGAGUCUACAAAACGAUGGAACAUUUAAGUUGACAACUGUUGUGCUUGAGCAUAUUCAUAACUUGGUUCCUACUGACUCACGACAUUUUGCAAUGAAUAAGAGAAUUCUUACUCUUGUGAAGAGAAGAUUAGAAAUAAACGAUGAGGCAGGGAUAGGGGUGGCUAGGAAUUUUCAUUCUAUAGGUAUUGAAGCGGGGGGAUAUAAGGCAUUAACAUUUGACGGACGAGAUGCAAGGAAUCAUAUUGAGAAGGCUAGAAGAUUGAGGCUUGGGGUAGGAUAUGCCGAAUAGUUGGACUUUAUUUUCAUAGGAUGCAAUAACAAAAUUCGAACUUCUAUUCUGCAAUGGACUUUGAUGGAGAAGGACGCUUGCAAAACUUAUUUUGGGCUGAUACAAGAAGUAGGGCAACUUAUAAAGCAUUUAGGGAUGUUACAUUUGACACAACUUAUCUCACAAACAAAUAUGACAUGUCAUUUGCUUCGUUUGUAGGAGUUAAUCGCUAUGGAAAGUCAAUUUUGUUUGGUUGUGGGUUGUUAUGUAAUGAGAACACUGAGAGAUUUGUAUGCCUAUUCGGAGCUUAGUUAAGUUGCAUGUCAGACACUCCUCCAAAAGCUAGAAUAACUGACUAGUGCAAAGCUAUGCAAAAUGCCAUAGAAAUUAUCUUCCCACAUGCUCGACAUCGUUGGUGCUUAUGGCAUAUAAUGAAGAAAAUUUUGAAAAAAUUGAGAGGCUAUUCGCAAUAUGAAUCUAUAAAGUUUGCUUUGCAAAAUGCAGUUUAUGAUUCUUUAACAAAAGAUGAAUUUGAUGAAGAAUAGCAAGCGAUGAUCGCAAAGUUCAGUCUAAAUGAUAACGAGUGGUUUGGGGUAUUAUAUAGUGAGCGACAUAGGUGGAUUCCUACCUAUGUUAAAGACAUUUUUUGGGCUGGCAUGUCAACUACACAAUGAAGUGAGAGUAUGAAUGCAUUUUUUGAUGGACAUGUGAACUCGAAGACUACUUUAAAGCAAUUUAUUGAGCAGUAUGACAAUGCCUUGAGAAGUAAGGUAGAGAAGGAGACCAAAGUAGACUUUCAAUCUCGAAACAAAUUGUAUGAUUUCUUAACGAUGUAUGCUUUUGAGAAGCAACUUUGUGCAGCUUACACAAAUGCAAAAUUUUAAAGAGGUACAAGCAGAAAUGAAACGACUAUUGUACUAUCGUGCGACUCUUGUCAAAGAGAAAUGAUCAAUUUGUACUUAUCAUGUAAAAAAGGUUGUUUUAGUCGGUGAACAAAAGAAGAAAGUAGAAUUUGUUGUAUAUUAUAAUUCAAUUGAAUGUGACAUCCAAUGUAUGUGUCGGCGGUUUGAGUUUAGGGGCAUUAUGUGUGCCCAUUCACUUAGUGUACUCCUUGAGAGGUGCAUAUAUGAGGUUCCAGAUAAAUACAUUAUGCCGAGGUGGAAAAAAGAUUUAAAAAGAGGAUACACAUGCAUUCCAACCACAUACACUACUUCUAGAGUUGUUCUCAAUGCAAAAGUGUAUGAUAACUACCACAAGAUAUUGGAUGAAAUUAUAGAAAUUGCAGCCAACGAUGAUGGUAAACACAAAGUCAUUCAACUUGGGUUAGUAGAAAUCAAGAAUAGAGUGAGACAAGAUUAAUCGGGUUAUGUGGGUAAUGUGUCACCUUCUACUAGUACUGUCCCACCUUCUAAUACUUCCCCUAAAACUCAGCUUGGUCGCAGUACUACAAAUGCAAGCAUGACUCACAAGGUGCUUAGUCUUAUGGUUGCUCACCAAAGAGGUCAUCCAUGUACCAAACAGAAGGUUAGCAAAGUGGAUGAAAUCAUGAAUUGUUUCAAGAGAAAGAAUAAAAAGGCUACAAAAGUACAAGUAAAUUUUUAAUUUUGUUUGAUAUAUGAAUUUCAUAAUUUUCUUUACUUAACUUAUUCACGAAUGUGUGAUCCUAUAGGGUCGUAAGUUGAAUUUUGCUUGUAUGGAUGCCAUGCAAGCAAGUACGCACGAACCGGUGCCGCAAGCUCAACCAUACUAUUUUCCUUGUAUGGAUGGCACACAAGAGAGUAGGCAAGAGGUAGCUUAAUGCAAAUGGUGGACAAUAUUAGAAGCAAAUCUCUUAGUCAUUCAGGAAUGGUGAACAACAGAAGCAGUCAAAGUUUGAUAAUUGCUUCAAAAUUGUUGACUUAAAUAUAGAUGCGGAUCUAAUGCCCCAUUUUAUUUUUAGUUUCGCAGUUGUAAUUUUAUGACUUUGGUUUGUAAACUUUGGAUACUUUGGUUUGUAAAUGUAGAAAUGUUAUGGUUGGACACAUUUUAUGGUUUAUAGACAAGUGACAUAUUGUAUUAAUCUGGCCCAACUCAAAAUUCAGUUGCUUUGUUAUAAGGAUGGUUCAAUAAAUGGAUGCUACAAGUGACAUCAUUAU
Molecule: non-coding RNA, 4305 nt
Organism: Camellia sinensis
Lineage: Eukaryota; Viridiplantae; Streptophyta; Magnoliopsida; Ericales; Theaceae
Source: RefSeq, a predicted model, not a curated record